RNAcentral lists this long non-coding RNA (1026 nucleotides) under Carica papaya (papaya). RNAcentral's name for it is "long non-coding RNA (CPAP_LNC006737)". Lineage: Eukaryota; Viridiplantae; Streptophyta; Magnoliopsida; Brassicales; Caricaceae. The record is from RNAcentral.
UGUAUAUAUAAUUAUUUGGGAUGGUGGGUGUUGGAUGAACAAUCAGCAUCUGGUGAUUUGAGUUCCUGAAGAAAUCUGGUGAUGGUCUGGACAAAUGCUUCAUCCUCUUCUGGUAGUUUAUUUGAAGAGGCGGCUGCACUUGUAGAACUACUGCUGUUUCCCUUAGCAUUCUGAUUAUAGUUAACACAGAUUAACAAUAAUGAAGUAACUGUAACCGACAAAUAGAUAUAUAUAUAUGUAUAAUUUUAUAUUCAUCGGUAUAACAUAUAUUUCUUUUUAAUUAAACUUGAUGAUUUUGUAGUUUAGAUUGAUGUUUAUCUCAUUCACUAGAUAAAUUUUUUUUUUAACUUUUACUUUGACUAUAAGAACCUACAGAAAUUACCCUUCUUCUCUUUGUAAUUCUGCUUCGAGCAUUCAUCAUCUCCACGAGUUCAUCAAACUGUGAACUCAAAAGAUUAAAGAAAGAAACCCCAAUCAAGAAAACUCAUUAAUUCUUUUUUUUUUUCUCUUAUCUUAAUUUUGAUUUCUAUUGAAAAAUUAGCUGAAUACAGAUACUAAUUAACAAACACCUUGUUGGAUGAUAAUCACUACAUCAUUAGGGCUGAUUGUGAGCAUGCAUGUGCUUAACAAAUGAGCUUAAACAUGUGUAUUACUUAAUUUGUUAGGUGCAACAUAUUUACUCUAAAGAUUUAAAUGUAUACGAUACGGAACUAACUUGGUUAAAAAAAUAUUUCAAACUUCACGCAUGCUAAAAGGAAAUAAUAAACACAUGAAUCAAAUGAAGUGUUUAUUAAACUAGCUAGUCAAUUCUUCUUGAAUGCUUGUAGAAUUUAUUUGAAAAAUUUUGAAUAGAAAAAUUUCCUAGUUGAAGAUGAAUUCAUGAAAAUUAAGUAAUUGAAAUAAAAGAAGGCAUUGAAAUCGAAAAGAGAACCUGCUUAACAACGAUUUCAUAUUUCCUUACACACUGAUAAAGCCUUUUCUCAUCAUCUUCUUCUCUGGACAUUCUUCUUUAGUAUCUUUCUUCUC